RNAcentral lists this ribosomal RNA (530 nucleotides) under Betaeus harrimani. RNAcentral describes it as "partial small subunit ribosomal RNA". The record is from RNAcentral. Lineage: Eukaryota; Metazoa; Arthropoda; Malacostraca; Decapoda; Alpheidae.
UUAAGCAACUAGGUGGAUUUAAUGAAAAUCUAUAUAAUAUGAAAUUAAAAGGUGAAAUUUAGUGGUUAUUAUUUAUUAUUUAGAGGUAAAAUAAGAGGCCGAAGUUGUUAAUAUUAGGGGUUAAACCGGGAUUAGAUACCCCGCUAUUCCUGAAUCUAAUUAUUUUACUUGAGUAGUAAACAGAUAUAGUCUCGAAACUCAAAGAAUUUGGCGGUAUUUAAGUCUCGUUAGAGGAACUUGCACUGUAAACGAUAUACCCCGAAAAUCUGACAUUAUCUUGAAGAUUCAGCUUGUAUACCGCCAUUAUUAGAUGGUUUCAUUAGAAAUCCAUCUUAAUGAAUUUAUAUUCGGUAUAUUAGGUCAAGGUGCAGCUAAUGAUAAUGAAGAUGUGAGUUACAAUAUUACUUAAAUAUUAUGAAUAUGGUUUAGAAUUAGAUUUGUUGAAAGUGGAUUUAAUUGUAAACAGGGUAGAUUAUGCCUGCUUGAUAAAAGCUCUUAAAUAUGUACACAUCGCCCGUCGUUCUCGCUUC